ACUUAGUCUUUUUUACUCUUUAUGACUUAGGUUAAAAGAUUACCAUCAUCAUAAAUCAUCUUAACUUAUCCUGCUUGGGGAGAGAAGCUCAAGUCCUUCCAAGCCCCUUAGAAUAUUCGCCACUGCUUGCCAUGACCACUAGUUGUACCAGUCUCAGGUUGUUUUUUCACCCCGACCAAGUCCAUCCAUUCAGCCAGGCACUCGCCAUGAGUCUCCUUAAUUGUUGCUAGUGUGGCUUCCUUAUAGGGUGUGUGCCUCAAAGCAAAGGAUCUUUAAUUUCCUUGCUAUUGCAAGGAUCAACUCCCUUGAUGAGACGAGGGCCGAACUCGGUCAAUGGCGAAGAGGGUGUCUCCGAUGAGCUCGUACUACGGUGACUCAAUGGACGGUGGCUAACUAUCGAUUCCGUAAAGGCCUACGUUGAAUGCAAGGCUG
This 432-nucleotide long non-coding RNA is filed under the name Zostera marina. Its description in RNAcentral is "long non-coding RNA (ZMAR_LNC001953)". Lineage: Eukaryota; Viridiplantae; Streptophyta; Magnoliopsida; Alismatales; Zosteraceae. The record is from RNAcentral.